GACCGAGUGUGUUCUGGGUAGAAAUGUGUGUGUGUUUGGGCCGGCAGCUCAGGAGGUCCUGUAAACACAGCCUGAAGCGCUUUAUUUGAUUUCUACCAAAUCAGGGAGGGACACAAUCUCCUAACCCAACACAUGGAAAUGAAGACCUGGGGAUAAGCURAGUUCAUCCACCUGUUUAUCCUGCUACCCCCUACUGCCCCGGAGAUUCACCUGAGCAGGCACCUAUAGACUCAGAGUCGGAGAAGAGCCCAGAGGGUCAGCCAAUCAAAACGUGUCUACCAAACAAGACCUUGAGAAUGCUGCUAGGACUACCGAUGGAAGUGACAUCACAAUCACCUGCCAGGGGCCAUGGAGCCAUCUCACCUGCCUUGACACAAAACCUGCCCUAACCUUAACUGCUAAACAGCACACUUUCCCAGGGUGCUCUAGGGGAGGAGGGGUAUGGGGGCAAGGAGAGGGGAGAGAGGUGAGGAGUGACAGCUUCUUUAAUAUCCGGCUGUGUUUCACUGUGUUUUCAAACACAGCUGGGGCUGAAAAUAUGACCCAGGGGAUUCCCCUGAAGUGAGGCUCCGCCCACAUCACCAGUGAUUGACAUGUGAGAACAAAGCCACUGUCAACAGGAAAGUGUUCAUGUCAGGGAAAAUACACACAGUAUCCUUCUGGGAAGGAAGAUCGUAGACCUAGAUCAUCCAAAAACCAUUAGACAUCAUUUUGGUAUCAUGGUAUCUUUGAAAUCUGCUUCAAUCUGAAUCUAUUUCUUAUCUAUGAAAAUAUAAGUUGGAAUCACAUUUUAGGCAGAACUUGUAGAUUCACAUAUCGUCCAUAACACAUCAAGUAAAUGUAUGACAAUGUAUAACUUCUA
Long non-coding RNA from Salvelinus sp. IW2-2015, 862 nucleotides. RefSeq lists it as uncharacterized. NCBI's taxonomy places the organism in Eukaryota, Metazoa, Chordata, Actinopteri, Salmoniformes, Salmonidae. The record is from RefSeq and is a predicted model, not a curated record.